CGGGUGGCAGCAGUUUCGAAUCGUUCACAAUGGGGGCAACCCUGAUGGCGCGACGCCGCGUGCGGGAUGAAGGCCUUCGGGUUGUAAACCGCUUUCAGCAGGGAAGAAGCGAAAGUGACGGUACCUGCAGAAGAAGCACCGGCUAACUAUGUGCCAGCAGCCGCGGUAAUACAUAGGGUGCAAGCGUUGUCCGGAAUUAUUGGGCGUAAAGAGCUCGUAGGUGGUUCGUCACGUCGGAUGUGAAAAUCUGGGGCUCAACCCCAGACCUGCAUUCGAUACGGGCGAGCUAGAGUUUGGUAGGGGAGACUGGAAUUCCUGGUGUAGCGGUGGAAUGCGCAGAUAUCAGGAGGAACACCAAUGGCGAAGGCAGGUCUCUGGGCCAAUACUGACACUGAGGAGCGAAAGCGCGGGGAGCGAACAGGAUUAGAUACCCGAGU
RNAcentral lists this ribosomal RNA (437 nucleotides) under uncultured Actinomycetales bacterium. RNAcentral describes it as "bacterial SSU rRNA". It matches the Rfam family "Bacterial small subunit ribosomal RNA", at positions 342 to 791 of the family's 1533-position model. Lineage: Bacteria; Bacillati; Actinomycetota; Actinomycetes; Actinomycetales. The record is from RNAcentral.